Molecule: unclassified non-coding RNA, 46 nt
Filed under: Sorangium cellulosum So ce56
Lineage: Bacteria; Pseudomonadati; Myxococcota; Polyangiales; Polyangiaceae
Description: sce_s2m_71
Source: RNAcentral
GCAGCCGCAGCGACCGGCGCAGCCGCGGCCACCGGCGCAGCCGCAA